RNAcentral lists this ribosomal RNA (440 nucleotides) under uncultured bacterium. RNAcentral describes it as "partial 16S ribosomal RNA". It matches the Rfam family "Bacterial small subunit ribosomal RNA", at positions 338 to 795 of the family's 1533-position model. The record is from RNAcentral.
CCUACGGGAGGCUGCAGUAGGGAAUAUUUCACAAUGGGGGAAACCCUGAUGCAGCAACGCCGCGUGCGUGAAGAAGGAUUUCGGGAUGUAAAGCGCUAUUAGCAGGGAGGAAAAUGACGGUAACUUAUUAAGAAGCACCGGCUAACUACGUGCCAGCAGCCGCGGUAAUACGUAGGAGGCAAGCGUUAUCCGGAUUGACUGGGUGUAAAGGGAGCGUAGAGGGCAGAAAAAGUCCGGAUGGAAAUGCCGGGGCUUAACCCUCGAACUACUUUGGAAAAUGUGCAGAUAGAGUGCAUGAGAGGUAAGUGGAAUUCCUAGUGUAGGGGUGAAAUGCGUAGAUAUUAGGAGGAACACCAGUAGCGAAGGCAGCUUACUGGAAUGUAACUGACAUUGAGGCACGAAAGCGUAGGGAGCAAACGGGAUUAGAUACCCCAGUAGUC